Dreissena polymorpha is the source of this 4628-nucleotide long non-coding RNA. RefSeq lists it as uncharacterized. NCBI's taxonomy places the organism in Eukaryota, Metazoa, Mollusca, Bivalvia, Myida, Dreissenidae. The record is from RefSeq and is a predicted model, not a curated record. The transcript is spliced from 13 exons.
GAUGGAGUGUUGUUGCCAUGCUCAGUCUGCUACUGCAGCACUACAUCCUCCAUCAUUGUGGGACAGUACAGGAACAACAACAUCCUGGUGUUCAGAGUGGAAUAGUGUGUACAUUCGCUGCUGAGUCAGGACAAGGAUGCUGAGGAUGUGGUGGACAAGGAUGACCUGAAUACACAGAAGCUACUGCUCAGCAAAGAAUACAACUGUCUGGUGAAAGGCUCGACCGUAUCAAAGUCCAGUGAUGUCGGGGUAUGUGACCGUUCCAUGUCUGGGGAUUGCAUUUUAGCUGACACUAACAAGGGAGAGAACUGAAGAUCUGCACCUGCAAAGAGCACAAGCCUUGAUAUAGAGUUGGUACGGCAACGACACAAGUCGGGCCCGCUGGAGCCCCAGUCCAGCACGACCCCUCCCCUGACCCUUAGCUCCUCCCAUUUGACCUCCGGCAUCAAAGAGUCAGCAUUGUUUAACAAUUCCAUCCCAUAGCAAUUUCUGAGCACAUAGAGUGUUUGCACAUUUUUCUCAACAAGCGCAAUGUCCGUGUUGAGUCUGCACUUGGGCCCUGAUUGAUUUGAUAGACUCAAGUGUCGGAGCUGGUAGAAGUGUUACAGACAUAAGAAGUUAUUGCAGCUGUUAUGGUAACACUAACAGUCAGCUCUCGCUGUUGGACAUUACAAUGAAUAUUACGAAAAAAUACAAAGCUGGAUAACUCAUUCCAUUCUUUUUGGGACAAACAGACCUGCAGCAAGGAACAGGAGAAAAUCACGGGAAUGUUUGAAGAGUUUAAGUUAGAAGCGUAAGCUUUCCACCGGGGAUACUCCUGGAUGGUCUAAACUUAAGGGACAGUCCAGGUUUGUCCUCUCAGGUGUCCAAACUGUCCAAAGAGAAUGCAUUUAUUUUUGACGCAGUUGCUAACAAAGAAAGGCAGUACCAACUUCGUUGUGAAGAGUCAAGCAUGGUACAUCCCUGGGGCAUGACUCAGGUGGGAAUUCCAUCUGCAACAAGGUGCUUAAGGUGAACCCAUCAGAGUGUGUUACUAACCACUUCAAGACCAAACAGCCUCACAUUGAUUCGACGAUAAAGAAGGCGUUGAAAAAUGACAGCAGUUUUGAUGUGUCAUCCAGUUUGCUCUUCGACUCUCAACCCAACGUUAGUUAGAACGCAAACUCAGCAUUUAGCGUUAUCAGCGAGGCUCGAAGGUCAUCUCUGCUUCUUAAGCUUCAGAUAAAAUUAUAAGCCAACAAGACGAACAUCGUUGAAUCAUUUCUCACAUAUACUAAAACUCGCUUAAGAAAUUCAGCACGUCACUUAUGAACAUCUUCUCGCAAGGCGGCUACAUCAGCACUUCCAAUAGCUGAGCCUUGGUGAGUUCCACUCCUGUCCCGAUGAGUCGCUCGAGCUGAAACAAUCUGAUCCACAGAUAGAGCAGACGCUGAGUGACUCGUCUGUUAACGUGACUGACCUCCAUAUGUUGCUCUCUAAUAUUGUGCCUGAGGAGCAGUGUUGGCCUACAUUCCCUGUUCAGGGCGGUGACUUUGGCGUCAAGACUCACACAAUCUCUGUCUAUGGCCCUAUCGCAGCAGCAGCAGCAGCAGCAAAAAAAACAGGAAGUAUUUCAGCUGCACUCUGGGAAAACAGGGCUUAAUGCAUGUGUUUAAAGUGUUGUCCCAGAUAAAGGUGUUAAGUCUGCCCGCUCUUAUCAGUGACCACAGUUUCCGAAUAAGCCUUUAAAUGAAAAAUUCCAUAAAAGCGGAAAGUGUCGUGGCUGAUGAUUUUCAAGACUCACACAACCUCUGUCUAUGGCCCUGUCGCAGCAGCAGCAGCAACAAAAACAGGAAGUAUUUCAGCUGCACUCUGGGAAAACAGGGCUUAAUGCAUGUGCCUAAAGUGUUUUACCCACAAAAGCGUGUUAAGUCUGCCCAAGCUAAUUUGUGACCACACUUUCCGAAUGUACCUUAAAACAAAGAAUUCCAUAAAAGCUGAAAGUGUCGUGGCUGAUUAGCUUGUGCAGACUGUACAUGCAAAUCUGGAACAACUCUACACUUAUGCAUUUAGCCCAGUUUUUAAAGAGUUUAGAGUUGCACAUUUAGUUCACAUUACAUCAGCUUUACUGACCUUUUUGGAGAAAAGUUCUUAUUACCAAUCAGGAAUUUUGCGGUUUUUGACUGUUCAAACUGAGUUAAUAAAAUGCAUAUUAGAGUUGAUUUGAUAUCAGUUUUAACCAUAGGGGGUAAGGGCAUAUUUUCAUACCUUUUUGUUUGUUUUCACUUGUAUAUAAACCCCUUGCAUAAAUUAUACAAAAUACUGAUGUUUUAUUUAAAUAAAACAAUUAUUGAAAUGCAGUCAACAUUUUAAAAAAAUUAUCUGCAUUUCAUUUAUUAUUAGGUAACAAAAUUUAAUAUAUUUUUACAUAAAUUGAAAUUAAUCACCUGUCCAGGUUUUCAGUUUACAAAUAUGCCCCUGGAGUGAGAAUAUGAAGUGAAGAUAUUAAUUAAUUAUUGCCCCCGGCUAAUUGGGGUAUAUGGGAAUCACCUUGGACAGACGUCUGUCUCUCUUUUCUUAUGUCUGUGGGCGUUCACUUACAAUUCAACGUUAAGCAUUCAAACUUUCAGGUAUUGUUUAAUCUCAUACGUGGUUGUGCAUGUACAUUUUGUAUCAUAAUACUCUAAAAAUUACAAAACUUAGACAUUAUAUAACCUCAUGCUUCAUAGACUUGUGGCAUUGGGGGACAUUCUAUGUAACAAUGGUUACAAAUAAUUGUUUGACUAGAUGUUGUUUUCUUCUAAGUAUUUUGAAAAAAAAAGAGCCAUAUUUUGCUUUCGGAUUGAGUCAGCCUCAUAACUUGUUAAUUUAAUAAUUUAAUGGUCAUGAAAUAAUUUCUAUGGCCAUUCUCUCUCUGAUUCUAGUACGGCAAUUGUCUGUUACUGGCAUAAGUAUAUGUACUCAGUAAGGCCAGGAAAAGGUUAACUUAAUGACCACACUACUUUGACUAAAAUGCAUUUUUGUGUGUGUAGGAUCAAUUAAAAAAAAAGAUAAAAUUCGAGUACUUUUUAGCUGUUUCCUACAGGACCCCGUACAAUUACAGAUUGGUGCACAGCUGAACAACAGGCUCUCUCUCCUAAGCCAGGCCUGAACGCAUGGGGUCACUUCCUGUGUAUGGGUGGCCAAAUGUCAAACUAGUACCAAUCUGUGCCCAAAAAGCAGCCGUAGCCGUGGGGGGCAGGUUCAUGAUGCAACCGUGGUCUCAUUGCUCUCUGAACAUCUCCUUCCCAACAGCAACAGUACAGCAAAAUGACCUGGGUCAUACCGUUGCCAGUUCAAGCUUAGAGGACCAUGUUCCCCAAAUCCAAUGUGGCCCUAUAUCUUAACAGCUCUUCAAUUAUUUGACAACGCGGCAAUCAACAUGGUUCCAUUCCAGGAAUACCUCGCAGAGCUAAUGAACAGAGCCAGUGCGUAGAACAUGAUUUUUAGGAGGAAUAGGAACCUAGGCCCAAUAUCAACCUGGUUCCAAUCUCGCGAAGAUGUCCACCGGCCGCCCCCUAGCACAAGCCUCGUUAGCCCCAAGGUGUUGUCAUGAUGCCCCUGGACAACAGCUCUUGUUGGGCUCUUCCCAAUAGCAGUAGAUCAACAUGGCAUAUCAGCAUGAUGCCCCAAACCAGCGCUUCAUAUUUAGCUACCAGCAGUAUCCAUGCAACCAAACCUUGAUCACUCAGCAACAGAUAAAUCAGCAGCAGGGAUGGAGUUAGCCGUUUCAACGUCUGCUCAGAUGCCUCUCAGAGCCAGUCGGCUUGCUGUGUUGCUUAGCCAAUCCACUACUUAUGUCGCAGCACAAUAUCUCAUCUGGAUCCAUUCCACUGCUGGCGCAACAGCAGGUCUGUUCUCUGUACAGAGCCGUUUCUAUGACGAUGAAGUCCUACAAUUCGCCCAGUACUUGCUUUUGCGUCAGGGUCAGGUUCAAGGCCUCAUGGGCUUUGGUGGUCUGGGCAAGAUGGGAAUGUUAGACAGCAACAACAACAGUUAAGAAAAUAGCAACAGCAUAAUAGACAGACACAGCAGCAAUGGCCACAGCACCAACAAUAGCAGUAACAGAUGAUGGCUUAGCUUCAUCAGCAAUAGCAGAAGCAACAAGAUCUUACGUCCAUGGACCAUUUAGAUGUCACUUUAGAAAUUCAGAAGAUCUUCAUGAAAGAAUAAACAUGGAUUGCAUGGCAUUGAGUUUGGUUUGGAAGCAGGUACUAUCGCAGAACUCGAGCCAGCAAAGGUCAUUCUCACAGGAAUCCAGUAUCUCCAUGGUGCAGGACCCACAGUCUAUGAACGUUGUGGAGCUUGAACCUUGGACGCCAAUUGAAAAAUAUCCAAACCGUCCAAUCAGAAAGACAGUCUGUUGCAGCAGUUAUUCAAACCUAGGAUGCUUAGUGAUAAACAUAAAUAAACACAUGCUAGUCCCUAAGUGCCUGCAUUGGCUGUUUUAAAGCCUUGCUGUCCAUUCUGAACACUUAAAUGGAAGCUCUCACCUUAGAAUUUUGGGAUAGGUCGAAACCCAGUGGCAUGGUGCAGACUAACAUCGCAGAAUGACAAAGAAGUACAAGCCUGUGACCAGCAAUAAACUAAUGUGGCCAGCUAUGUUGUGU